This 465-nucleotide ribosomal RNA is filed under the name uncultured Klebsiella sp. Its description in RNAcentral is "bacterial SSU rRNA". It matches the Rfam family "Bacterial small subunit ribosomal RNA", at positions 338 to 795 of the family's 1533-position model. Lineage: Bacteria; Pseudomonadati; Pseudomonadota; Gammaproteobacteria; Enterobacterales; Enterobacteriaceae. The record is from RNAcentral.
CCUACGGGAGGCUGCAGUGGGGAAUAUUGCACAAUGGGCGCAAGCCUGAUGCAGCCAUGCCGCGUGUGUGAAGAAGGCCUUCGGGUUGUAAAGCACUUUCAGCGGGGAGGAAGGCGUUAAGGUUAAUAACCUUGGCGAUUGACGUUACCCGCAGAAGAAGCACCGGCUAACUCCGUGCCAGCAGCCGCGGUAAUACGGAGGGUGCAAGCGUUAAUCGGAAUUACUGGGCGUAAAGCGCUCGCAGGCGGUCUGUCAAGUCGGAUGUGAAAUCCCCGGGCUCAACCUGGGAACUGCAUUCGAAACUGGCAGGCUAGAGUCUUGUAGAGGGGGGUAGAAUUCCAGGUGUAGCGGUGAAAUGCGUAGAGAUCUGGAGGAAUACCGGUGGCGAAGGCGGCCCCCUGGACAAAGACUGACGCUCAGGUGCGAAAGCGUGGGGAGCAAACAGGAUUAGAUACCCGUGUAGUC